AUGAAAUAUAGAGAAGGUAGCAAGAGAUAUACUCCACAAUCCUGUUUAGCAAUUUGUGCAUUAAAUCAUGGGAGGACUUUUGUGGAACAAAUAUAUACGGGUACGUUAACAGUAAUUGUGAUUGUCACCGCAUUAAAAAAACCAAGGCUUGAUGCUACAAAGAAAUUAAUUUUUUCAACACAGUAA
Vicia faba (fava bean) is the source of this 186-nucleotide non-coding RNA. The record is from the annotation of a GenBank genome assembly. NCBI's taxonomy places the organism in Eukaryota, Viridiplantae, Streptophyta, Magnoliopsida, Fabales, Fabaceae.